AUGGGCAGCCUCAGGCCUGUCCACUGGCCCCUGAUCGUGGUCCACAUGCUUCUUCUGCAAAUGCCGCCCGUUAAGGUGCAGGGAGUUGAUCCUGUGUCCCAGAAACUACGACGACUCAACGAACAGUUCCAGCAGUUCCAGGCGCUGACCCAGGCCCGUUUGGACAUGUUGGCCCAGAAUCAGAACAGAAAUUCCUCGGGAGGGCUGGAUAACCGUGUUCAGGCCCUGAGUGACAACUGGCACCGCAUGUCACAGGACCUCCAACACCUCAAGCAGAGCACAACGCAGGAGAUACAGGGUCUCAGAGAGUGGAGCAGGAAGCUCGAGAAGAAGAGUAAACGUAUGGAGGGUCGACUGGCUUUGAUGGAGAGGAGCCUGAGGGGGAACCGCCGCCACGGCCAGAAACAGAAGCCUGACCCUGGUCAGGAUCUCUCCAACCUUACCCUGGAGCUCCAGAGCCAAGACGAAAGACUGGCUGCCCUUCAGGUCCAGCGAGACGAGCUCCUCAUUGGACUGAAAGGGCUGCAGGAAUCCCUGAAAAACCAGGCACUGCGCGUGACCCGGCUGGAGGGCCGUAUCGGUGAGGGCCUGCAGCAGAAUGGAGGAGGUUUGUGGGGUGUGGGAGAGCCCUUCAACUCUAAGAUCAAACCUCAGGCAUACUAUGAACCACGCAGGAGAAGCCAGACACAUAGAGGAGGCAGGCCUGGAAGGAUUCUGGACACUCUACCCAGAUCAGAAGAUAUCAUCUAUUCCCAGACUGAUAAUCAUUCACAAUCCACAGCUCAAAACAGAAACCAUCCACAUCCUUAUAAAUACCAAGCAACAUCAAACCAGCCUAAACAUUUAAAGAAGUCAAGACCUCAGCCAGAAUCUCAUGCGCGUUACUUGCCGCAGCCUGACCCUUACCAUCCCCAGUCACAGAUCCAGAUGCAGGCCCAGACAAAGCCUCACCCGAUCCAGCAGGAGCAGCUCCAGUCUCAACAGACUGUGCCUGAUCUUCAGCCACAGGCCCGGCAACAAUCACAGGCUCACUUAUAUCGUCAGAGACAUCCCCAACUACGCAACCUCACUCAUUUCUCUGGGCCCCAGCCCCUGCCCUAUUCUCCAAACUAUCCUGAACCCAUCAAAGACAGACAGAGCAGGACAGGUCAGCGGGCUCCACCGCCCCAGGCUUCAGAUGAUCUUCCUCAGCCCAAGUCUUAUCAGUCCAGGGUGAGCGGGUGGGAUGGAGGAGAGGAGGAAGAAAGCGACACAAAAAUAGAGUAUUCAGUGAUUCACACCUUCCUCCAGCUUCCUGUGAGGCACAAGAUCCCUGCACAACCGGUUCCCAAAAAGGAUGCAACCAGUAAGUAAUAGUUAGUACCUCACAAUACUUGAGGUACUUAUUUAGCAGGUACCACAAUAAUCCCAGUAUGGAAAUGUUGCACCG
This 1429-nucleotide long non-coding RNA is filed under the name Cottoperca gobio. Its description in RNAcentral is "lncRNA (ENSCGOG00000000626.1)". Lineage: Eukaryota; Metazoa; Chordata; Actinopteri; Perciformes; Bovichtidae. The record is from RNAcentral.